CCUACGGGAGACAGCAGUGAGGAAUAUUGGUCAAUGGCCGGAAGGCUGAACCAGCCAUGCCGCGUGAAGGUCAGUGCCCUAUGGGCGUUAAACUUCUUUUGUGCGGGAGCAAUAAUGGUCACGUGUGGCCAGACGAGAGUACCGUACGAAUAAGCAUCGGCUAACUCCGUGCCAGCAGCCGCGGUAAUACGGGGGAUGCAAGCGUUAUCCGGAUUUAUUGGGGUUAAAGGGUGCGUAGGCUGUGAGGUAAGUCAGCGGUGAAAUGCCCCCGCUCAACGGGGUGAAGUGCCAUUGAUACUGCCUUGCUGGAAUGCGGAUGCCGUGGGAGGAAUGUGUGGUGUAGCGGUGAAAUGCAUAGAUAUCACACAGAACACCGAUUGCGAAGGCAUCUCACGAAUCCGCGAUUGACGCUGAUGCACGAAAGCGUGGGUAUCAAACAGGAUUAGAUACCCCUGUAGUC
Molecule: ribosomal RNA, 460 nt
Filed under: uncultured bacterium
Lineage: Bacteria
Description: partial 16S ribosomal RNA
Rfam family: Bacterial small subunit ribosomal RNA
Source: RNAcentral